AUAGGGAAGUCCGACGACCACCAUGCCGUGAUGCAUCAUCGUGGGAAUGAGGCCGAGAAUCGUUGAU
This 67-nucleotide small RNA is filed under the name Sinorhizobium meliloti 2011. RNAcentral describes it as "putative ncRNA". Lineage: Bacteria; Pseudomonadati; Pseudomonadota; Alphaproteobacteria; Hyphomicrobiales; Rhizobiaceae. The record is from RNAcentral.